This 253-nucleotide ribosomal RNA is filed under the name uncultured bacterium. Its description in RNAcentral is "partial 16S ribosomal RNA". It matches the Rfam family "Bacterial small subunit ribosomal RNA", at positions 524 to 776 of the family's 1533-position model. The record is from RNAcentral.
UACGUAGGGGGCGAGCGUUGUCCGGAUUUAUUGGGCGUAAAGAGCGUGUAGGCGGCCAGGUAGGUCCGUUGUGAAAACUCGAGGCUCAACCUCGAGACGUCGACGGAAACCAUCUGGCUAGAGUCCGGAAGAGGAGAGUGGAAUUCCUGGUGUAGCGGUGAAAUGCGCAGAUAUCAGGAAGAACACCCGUGGCGAAGGCGGCUCUCUGGGACGGUACUGACGCUGAGACGCGAAAGCGUGGGGAGCGAACAGG